AGAGUUUGAUCCUGGCUCAGAUUGAACGCUGGCGGCAUGCCUUACACAUGCAAGUCGAACGGCAGCACGGGAGCAAUCCUGGUGGCGAGUGGCGAACGGGUGAGUAAUAUAUCGGAACGUGCCCAGUCGUGGGGGAUAACGCAGCGAAAGCUGUGCUAAUACCGCAUACGAUCUAUGGAUGAAAGCGGGGGACCGUAAGGCCUCGCGCGAUUGGAGCGGCCGAUAUCAGAUUAGCUUGUUGGUGGGGUAAAAGCCCACCAAGGCGACGAUCUGUAGCUGGUCUGAGAGGACGACCAGCCACACUGGAACUGAGACACGGUCCAGACUCCUACGGGAGGCAGCAGUGGGGAAUUUUGGACAAUGGGCGCAAGCCUGAUCCAGCAAUGCCGCGUGCAGGAUGAAGGCCUUCGGGUUGUAAACUGCUUUUGUACGGAACGAAACGGCUCUUUCUAAUAAAGAGGGCUAAUGACGGUACCGUAAGAAUAAGCACCGGCUAACUACGUGCAGCAGCCGCGGUAAUACGUAGGGUGCGAGCGUUAAUCGGAAUUACUGGGCGUAAAGCGUGCGCAGGCGGUUAUAUAAGACAGAUGUGAAAUCCCCGGGCUCAACCUGGGACCUGCAUUUGUGACUGUAUAGCUAGAGUACGGUAGAGGGGGAUGGAAUUCCGCGUGUAGCAGUGAAAUGCGUAGAUAUGCGGAGGAACACCGAUGGCGAAGGCAAUCCCCUGGACCUGUACUGACGCUCAUGCACGAAAGCGUGGGGAGCAAACAGGAUUAGAUACCCUGGUAGUCCACGCCCUAAACGAUGUCAACUGGUUGUUGGGUCUUCACUGACUCAGUAACGAAGCUAACGCGUGAAGUUGA
Molecule: ribosomal RNA, 863 nt
Filed under: uncultured bacterium
Lineage: Bacteria
Description: bacterial SSU rRNA
Rfam family: Bacterial small subunit ribosomal RNA
Source: RNAcentral